AUCUUUCUAGUAUUAGGUUAGUACAAAUGACUUCCAAUCAUUUAGUCUUGGUUAAACUCCAAGGAAAGAUA
RNAcentral lists this transfer RNA (71 nucleotides) under Acheilognathus signifer (Korean bittering). RNAcentral describes it as "tRNA-Gly". It matches the Rfam family "tRNA". From Rfam's summary of the family: Transfer RNA (tRNA) molecules are approximately 80 nucleotides in length. The record is from RNAcentral. Lineage: Eukaryota; Metazoa; Chordata; Actinopteri; Cypriniformes; Acheilognathidae. RNAcentral also lists the same sequence under 1 other name.